This 933-nucleotide ribosomal RNA is filed under the name methanogenic prokaryote enrichment culture B19_15. RNAcentral's name for it is "bacterial SSU rRNA". It matches the Rfam family "Bacterial small subunit ribosomal RNA", at positions 8 to 916 of the family's 1533-position model. The record is from RNAcentral.
AGAGUUUGAUCAUGGCUCAGAACAAACGCUGGCGGCGUGCCUAACACAUGCAAGUCGUACGAGAAAGUCCGCUUCGGUGGAUGAGUAAAGUGGCGCACGGGUGAGUAACGCGUGGAUAAUCUACCCUUUAGUCUGGAAUAACUUAUCGAAAGGUGAACUAAUACCGGAUAAUAUCCCGAUUUCUUCGGCGAUCGGGAUCAAAGAAGGCCUCUGCUUGCAAGCUUUCACUGAAGGAUGAGUCCGCGUACCAUUAGCUAGUUGGCAGGGUAAUGGCCUACCAAGGUUAUGAUGGUUAGCUGGUCUGAGAGGAUGAUCAGCCACACUGGAACUGAAACACGGUCCAGACUCCUACGGGAGGCAGCAGUGAGGAAUAUUGCGCAAUGGGGGCAACCCUGACGCAGCAACGCCGCGUGAGUGAGGAAGGUUUUCGGAUUGUAAAGCUCUGUCGAGCGGAAAGAAGUGCAUGGUGGUUAAUAUCCAUCAUGCUUGACGGUACCGCUAAAGGAAGCACCGGCUAACUCCGUGCCAGCAGCCGCGGUAAUACGGGGGGUGCAAGCGUUGUUCGGAAUCAUUGGGCGUAAAGCGCGUGUAGGCGGCUGGACAAGUCAGAUGUGAAAGCCCUGGGCUUAACCCAGGAAGCAUUUGAAACUGUUCAGCUAGAGUAAGGGAGAGGAAAGUGGAAUUCCUGGUGUAGAGGUGAAAUUCGUAGAUAUCAGGAGGAACACCGGUGGCGAAGGCGACUUUCUGGCCCUAUACUGACGCUGAGACGCGAAAGCGUGGGUAGCAAACAGGAUUAGAUACCCUGGUAGUCCACGCUGUAAACGAUGUUCACUAGGUGUUGGGGGUAUUGACCCUUCCAGUGCCGCAGCUAACGCAUUAAGUGAACCGCCUGGGGAGUACGGUCGCAAGAUUAAAACUCAAAGGAAUUGACGG